AGUGGGAUCACUUAGAAAGAGCCAACAGUCCAGGCCAUGAUAAACUGGUACCCAGCUCUGCUUCACAUGUAAUUGUCCAUCUGGCGUGGCAGCAGCUCCUUCCUGCAAAGCAAUGUUGAAGAAACUAUGGAAGCAAGAAGGAAGCAUGGAUUCUAGAAACUGAUGACAAACCACUUACCCCUAUUGCUCUUCUUCCUAAAGCUAAAGGAUCAAACUGCAUCAUGGAAGCUGCACACGAUGACACCCUGUCUGGAAAGUUUUUGCCAGACGGCAAAAGACUGCAAGCAGAAUAUCCCUUCGCCAUUUCUCAUUCAGGCCUGGCCGUUGUCAGAAAGCAAACCUCAAGGACAGGACUUUUUGGACUCUGCAGCCUCUCCAGGCUGCUGCUCCACCACAUGAAGUCCAGCAGGUGGCAGUGCACCCCGCGCAGACCCGGCUUGCCUGUCUUGGCCCGAGGGAGUCCGUUUGAUGCGCAGUCGGGAAGUGGGUCUGCACGCACCUCGCUGCAGCUGUGGCAAACGCAAGCGAUGACACACAGGCUUGACGAGGGCCUUUGUCAGAAGCAAUGGGGAUCUGGCGUCACCGCACAAUGGAAAACAAAGUGCUUCUGCCUGGCUGGCCAGAAUGCACGUUUGCUCACUAUUGAUGCCGGGGCAUUUACAGGCAGAAUGAGUUCAUGUGAAAUUUCAGGGUCUGCCAUGACUCAGAUUCACUUUCUGUAAACCAGAGUCAACAUUACAUUUCCCUUUACUCUGAGCCAUUCCUUGAGUUUUUAGGUCACCAGUUGUUUUUGUACUAACCGAAGGGAUUUGAGUAUUUUUUAUGCACCUUAUUUUUAUUAUUAUUUUUAGGGCAUUACCAACUUGGGACGGAUCUGUAGUGUGAGAGAUUGUUGUCACUCUUAGCUCCAAACAUAGAUUGGCUUUAUAUAUUAUUUACAUGUUCAGAAUUAUAUUGUGUAGAAAUUCAAGUGAAACUUGCAAAAUACUUUUCUGGCAGGAAGCCCUGGAGAGGAUCGUUCAUGGAAACAAGGAUGACGACUGUGGUAAGAAAUGCAGGUGACUCGUGAGUGGGCAGGGAGUGGAAGAGAAGAUGGCUGGAAGGUUUUAGCAUUCAGAAAAAAAAUGGAGACAACUAGAGCUGAUCUGAAGAUUAUGGCAGAAUUCAAUAUUGGGGCAAAGAAACAAGAUGGAGGUUAGAAAUUAGAAACAGCAGAGCUCCGCAGAUUGGAAAGGAUUUGAGCAAGAGAACAAAAAGGAGCCUGCUAAUAGCACCCUGGGUUUACAUCAAGAGAAGCACUUGGAGAGAAUUAACUCAGGAGGAGGUAGGGGCAUGGGAAACCUUUUCAUCUCCAAGAGCCGGCAGGAACAGCAGCUGGCCUGAACUUGAAGGUACACCAGGUAGCUUGCCCGGGCCAGGAGAGGGUGAUUCUCUUCUAUGCCUCUCUCCAGUGCCCUGCUUCUGAUGCUGCUCCUCUACCCGUAGUGCGGGGAAGAUAUAUCCCUAAGAAGUUCCCUGCACCCCAUUCCUUGUUCUGGCUAACUGGUCCCCUAGGAAUUUUUCUCCUAAUUUUCAAUUCCCCUUCUCACCUGGUGAAAUCUGCUCUUACUGUUCAAUAAAAGUUCUUCUACC
Mandrillus leucophaeus (drill) is the source of this 1632-nucleotide RNA transcript. RefSeq lists it as uncharacterized. The transcript has 4 exons. The record is from RefSeq and is a predicted model, not a curated record. NCBI's taxonomy places the organism in Eukaryota, Metazoa, Chordata, Mammalia, Primates, Cercopithecidae.